GGAUAACCAACCCUCUGGUUCGGGACAACACUGGGAAACUGGUGCUAAUACCGGAUGUGUCGUGGGAGUCAUCAGGCUCCCACGAGAAAGACACGCAAGGGUCUCCAGAGGACGGGUCCGCGUCCCAUCAGCUUGUUGGUGAGGUAAUGGCUCACCAAGGCGAAGACGGGUAGCUGGUCUGAGAGGAUGAUCAGCCACACUGGAACUGAGACACGGUCCAG
Molecule: ribosomal RNA, 221 nt
Filed under: uncultured bacterium
Lineage: Bacteria
Description: partial 16S ribosomal RNA
Rfam family: Bacterial small subunit ribosomal RNA
Source: RNAcentral